RNAcentral lists this ribosomal RNA (895 nucleotides) under Enterobacter hormaechei. RNAcentral's name for it is "partial 23S ribosomal RNA". It matches the Rfam family "Bacterial large subunit ribosomal RNA", at positions 270 to 1191 of the family's 2925-position model. The record is from RNAcentral. Lineage: Bacteria; Pseudomonadati; Pseudomonadota; Gammaproteobacteria; Enterobacterales; Enterobacteriaceae.
CGAACGGGGAGCAGCCCGGAGUCUGAAUCAGCUUGUGUGUUAGUGGAACGGUCUGGAAAGUCCGACGGUACAGGGUGAUAGUCCCGUACACGAAAAUGCACAUGCUGUGAACUCGAAGAGUAGGGCGGGACACGUGGUAUCCUGUCUGAAUAUGGGGGGACCAUCCUCCAAGGCUAAAUACUCCUGACUGACCGAUAGUGAACCAGUACCGUGAGGGAAAGGCGAAAAGAACCCCGGCGAGGGGAGUGAAAAAGAACCUGAAACCGUGUACGUACAAGCAGUGGGAGCACCUUCGGGUGUGACUGCGUACCUUUUGUAUAAUGGGUCAGCGACUUAUAUUCUGUAGCAAGGUUAACCGUAUAGGGGAGCCGAAGGGAAACCGAGUCUUAACUGGGCGUUAAGUUGCAGGGUAUAGACCCGAAACCCGGUGAUCUAGCCAUGGGCAGGUUGAAGGUUGGGUAACACUAACUGGAGGACCGAACCGACUAAUGUUGAAAAAUUAGCGGAUGACCUGUGGCUGGGGGUGAAAGGCCAAUCAAACCGGGAGAUAGCUGGUUCUCCCCGAAAGCUAUUUAGGUAGCGCCUCGUGAACUCAUCUUCGGGGGUAGAGCACUGUUUCGGCUAGGGGGCCAUCCCGGCUUACCAACCCGAUGCAAACUACGAAUACCGAAGAAUGUUAUCACGGGAGACACACGGCGGGUGCUAACGUCCGUCGUGAAGAGGGAAACAACCCAGACCGCCAGCUAAGGUCCCAAAGUCAUGGUUAAGUGGGAAACGAUGUGGGAAGGCACAGACAGCCAGGAUGUUGGCUUAGAAGCAGCCAUCAUUUAAAGAAAGCGUAAUAGCUCACUGGUCGAGUCGGCCUGCGCGGAAGAUGUAACGGGGCUAAACCAUG